AGGUUCACUUAAGCCCAGGAGGCUGCAAUGAGCGGAGACUGUGCCACUGCACUCUAGCCUGAUUGACAAAGUGAGACACUGUCUCAAAAAAAAGACUAUUUGUAAACCAUACGUCUGAAAAAGGAUCUGUAAUCAGAAUAUAUAAAGAACUCUUACAACUCAAUAAUAAAAAGACAACCCAUUUUAAAAGGGCAGAGGAUCUGAACAGAUAGUUCUUCAAAGAUACACAAAUGGCCAGCAUGGUAUUUCAACCACAUGAAAUAAAGCUCAACAUUAGCCAACAGGGAAAUUCAAAUCAAAAUCACAAUGAACUACUACUUCACACCCAGCAGGAUGGCUAUAAUCAAAGUGAUGAUGUGCCAGGCAUGGUGGCUCACACCUGUAAUCCUAGCACUUUGGGAGGCUGAGGCGGGCAGAUCACUUGAGGUGUGGAAUUCGAAACCAGCGUGGCAAACAUGGUAAACCCCAUCUCUACUAAAAAUACAAAAAAAUCUGGCCAGGUGCAGUGGCUCAUGUCUAUAAUCCCAGCACUUUGGGAGGCCAAGGCAGGCGGAUCACCUGAGGUCAGGAGUUCGAGACCAGCCCGGCCAACAUGGUGAAACCCCAUCUCUACUAAAAAUAAAAAAAUUAGCCAGGCGUGGUGACGCCAUGCCUGUAGUCCCAGCCACUCGGGAAGAUGACACAGGAAAAUCGUUUGAGCCUGGGAAGUGGAGGUUGCAGUGAGCCGGGAUGGUGCCACUUUACUCCAGCCUGGGCAACAGAGCAAGAUUCUGUCUCAAAAAUAAAAUAAAAUAAUAAGAAUACAAAAAAAUUAGGUAGGCAUGGUGCCACAUGCCUGUAAUCCCAGCUACGAGGGAGGUUGAGGUGGGGUCACUUAAACCCAGGAGACAGAGGUUGCAGUGAGCCAAGACCGUGCCAAAGCACUCCAGCCUGGGUAACAGAGCAAGACUCCUUCUCAAAAAA
Molecule: long non-coding RNA, 963 nt
Filed under: Homo sapiens (human)
Lineage: Eukaryota; Metazoa; Chordata; Mammalia; Primates; Hominidae
Description: HSALNT0229780
Source: RNAcentral